UGAGGAAUAUUGGUCAAUGGGGGCAACCCUGAACCAGCCAAGUCGCGUGAAGGAUGAAGGUCUUAUGGAUUGUAAACUUCUUUUACACGGGAAUAAAGCGGGGGACGUGUCCCCCUUUGCAUGUACCGUGUGAAUAAGGAUCGGCUAACUCCGUGCCAGCAGCCGCGGUAAUACGGAGGAUCCGAGCGUUAUCCGGAUUUAUUGGGUUUAAAGGGUGCGCAGGCGGGAUGUUAAGUCGGCGGUGAAAUUUUGCAGCUCAACUGUAAAAGUGCCUUCGAUACUGGCCUCCUUGAGUGUGGAUGAAGUAGGCGGAAUUUGUGGUGUAGCGGUGAAAUGCUUAGAUAUCACGAGGAACUCCGAUUGCGCAGGCAGCUUACUAGGCCACAACUGACGCUCAUGCACGAAGGCGUGGGGAUCAAACA
This 422-nucleotide ribosomal RNA is filed under the name uncultured bacterium. RNAcentral describes it as "bacterial SSU rRNA". It matches the Rfam family "Bacterial small subunit ribosomal RNA", at positions 355 to 774 of the family's 1533-position model. The record is from RNAcentral.